CUACACAUCAGCAAAGACAACGAGCUGUCACGUGACUGCUGACGCCAACACGACAAUGACAACACCAGUGUCAUCACUGUCUGUGUACAAGACCCUGACACUGCCACGCGCUCGCGCCUCCUGAUGUAGUAACCACUGCCUGACAGCCUCUACCUUUCUUCAAAUCUCAUCGAUAAAUGUCAAGACACACCUGUGUGUCUCCUCUCAGCCUUGUGUCAGUUUGUGAGGAUAGGAACUGCAGAUGUUCCUUCAGAGUUGAAGAUAAUUUACUUCCUAAUCCAAAACUCCUAAUGAGGAAAAGCGGUGGGCAGGGUUCGAACCCAGGACUAUCAAGACCACCAAACUACAGUCCAGAGCACACACCAAACCGGGCAGUCAAAAUGCCGCUUUUGAUAGGCCUACGUAUUGAACGUAGCUAUUGAGCAGUCUAUAGAUCAUGGACAAACAAAUUGACACCUAAAAUCGAAUUAAAUUCAAGAAUAAAUUCAACACUUUUGAAUAUUAUUAUGUUUAUUCAUUUAUCUUUUUACCAGAAAAAAAAACAGCAUUUAAAAAGAAAAUAAACAGAAUAUCCGCUAAUAGUUACAUUGUGGUCCCAGGUCUAGUCCAGGUCAAAUGUCUUCUGUCGCACAGUAAACAAAACAAUAACCAUUCUCUCUCUCUUACAUGUACACAUCUCUUUCUUCUCAAGAUAAUUAGAUACCAUUUUGAACUAGAAUUUCCCGGUUUACCUACCAGACCAGAUCCUUAUUGAGACAUUAUACACCAUAUUUGAGAUAAUAGAAUGUAAAGCUAGAGCAACAUACAUUUAUAAAAA
Molecule: long non-coding RNA, 817 nt
Organism: Biomphalaria glabrata
Lineage: Eukaryota; Metazoa; Mollusca; Gastropoda; Planorbidae
Exons: 2
Source: RefSeq, a predicted model, not a curated record